GACGAACGCUGGCGGCGUGCUUAACACAUGCAAGUCGAACGGAAAGGCCCUGCUUUUGUGGGGUGCUCGAGUGGCGAACGGGUGAGUAACACGUGAGUAACCUGCCCUUGACUUUGGGAUAACUUCAGGAAACUGGGGCUAAUACCGGAUAGGAGCUCCUGCUGCAUGGUGGGGGUUGGAAAGUUUCGGCGGUUGGGGAUGGACUCGCGGCUUAUCAGCUUGUUGGUGGGGUAGUGGCUUACCAAGGCUUUGACGGGUAGCCGGCCUGAGAGGGUGACCGGCCACAUUGGGACUGGGAUGCGGCCCAGACUCCUUAGGGAGGCAGGAGUGGGGAAUAUUUCAACAAGGGCGGAAGCCUGGAGGAGCCACGCCGGGUGCGGGAUGACGGCCCUUCGGUUUUAAACCCCUUUUGCCUGGGAACAAGCCGGAGGGACCGUAAUGGGUAAAGAAGCAACGGCUAACUUCCUG
RNAcentral lists this ribosomal RNA (468 nucleotides) under uncultured bacterium. RNAcentral's name for it is "partial 16S ribosomal RNA". It matches the Rfam family "Bacterial small subunit ribosomal RNA", at positions 28 to 507 of the family's 1533-position model. The record is from RNAcentral.